Long non-coding RNA from Drosophila willistoni, 499 nucleotides. RefSeq lists it as uncharacterized. The record is from RefSeq and is a predicted model, not a curated record. The transcript has 2 exons. Lineage: Eukaryota; Metazoa; Arthropoda; Insecta; Diptera; Drosophilidae.
UUAAUUUAAUAAUUCAGCAUUUGUUUCGACGCUGCGACGUCUCCGUGUACCGGAUUCGGAGACGGGAGCACUUUCUGUCUGCACUUUCACAGACAAUGCAUGACGAUGGCGAUGAUGAUGAUGGCAUUUUUCGUGCUCCAAAAGGGGCGGACAGCAAACCGGAAGUGAAGACUACUACCAACUGAGUAGAUAGUAGCUACCUUUACCAACUGCUGUGCGACGGCAACAAAAUGAAAACUUUUCUCUAGCCACCACGAUGGCGUUCGGUUGGCGGCAAUUAAGUCAAAUUGAUAAUGACGACAAAAUGUCGGCUGGCAGGAGUUUCGAAAGCUAGGUAGGAACCUCCUCCAGAGAACAACAUCUAUUGCUUUUACUGCUCGGCUCCGGAUGACGUGAUUUCAUUUUGGGUAUGGGUGUGGGUGUGGACUAUGCAAAAUUGGCGACACAUUUCGACACGUCCGCCCUUUGGCAUAAUUAAAACGAAAUAAUUUUCGACAAG